CUAUGGCCAUACCACCCUGAACGCGUCCAAUCUCGUCUGAUUUCAGAAGCUAAGCAGGGUCAGGCCUGGUUAGUACUUGGAUGGGAGAAAGAGAAAGAAGUGACCCAAAGC
This 111-nucleotide ribosomal RNA is filed under the name Castor canadensis (American beaver). The record is from RNAcentral. Lineage: Eukaryota; Metazoa; Chordata; Mammalia; Rodentia; Castoridae.